GCUCCAGUGGUGCGAUCGGUCAGCGCGCGGUACUUAUAAUGCCGAGGUUGUGAGUUAGAGUCUCACCUGUAGCA
This 74-nucleotide transfer RNA is filed under the name Merluccius polli (Benguela hake). RNAcentral's name for it is "tRNA-Ile". It matches the Rfam family "tRNA". From Rfam's summary of the family: Transfer RNA (tRNA) molecules are approximately 80 nucleotides in length. Their secondary structure includes four short double-helical elements and three loops (D, anti-codon, and T loops). Lineage: Eukaryota; Metazoa; Chordata; Actinopteri; Gadiformes; Merlucciidae. The record is from RNAcentral.